UGCAAGGCUUUUCUGAAAGCCACAUUAAAUUGAAAGCAUGAAAUAA
Molecule: non-coding RNA, 46 nt
Organism: Monodelphis domestica (gray short-tailed opossum)
Lineage: Eukaryota; Metazoa; Chordata; Mammalia; Didelphimorphia; Didelphidae
Source: Rfam